Molecule: long non-coding RNA, 1373 nt
Organism: Mustela lutreola (European mink)
Lineage: Eukaryota; Metazoa; Chordata; Mammalia; Carnivora; Mustelidae
Exons: 4
Source: RefSeq, a predicted model, not a curated record
UUGGCGGGCGGAGGAGGGACUAGAAAGUACUUGGAGCGGGAGAAGCUGGGUGGAGAGAGAAUCUGACCAUACUUACCUUCGUCUUUUCUGUGAGGAUUUCUGUUGUGUGUUCCCCGACCUCUGAGAGAUCACACGUAGGCAGACAGAGAGAGAGGAGGAAGCAAGCUCCCCGCUGAGCAGAGAGCCUGAUGUGGCACUCGUUCCCAGGACCCUGGGAUCAUGACCUGAGCGGAAGGCAGAUGCUUAACCAUCUGAGCCAGCCAGGCACCCAAGAUGAAGGAGAAUCACCUUGCAAGCUCUUUAAAAAUACUGAAUGAUACCUGAGAAUUCUAAUUCAUUCGCUCAGGUUAGAACGUGGGCAUCUACUGUGCAGCAAGAACUAAGAACCACCAACCCAGAGCAUUUUGCUGCUUUAAAAGGAGAGCUGUUGUGCAAUUCCCAUUUUAACAAGUUCCCAUUAUAGCACAUCCCUCAAGCACUUGCUUAGGAAACUGGGAGGACUGCCAUUCCCACAGAUCUUAUUAAAGGAUAAGAAUGACAACCAUGGCAUGAGUCAUAAUGAUACAUUGCUGAUGGCCUAGCAUGUUUCUUCAAGCUUGGUUACUCUGGAUUCAUUCUGAUGAUUGAUUUCAGCUAUCUUGGAAGUGAGCUAAACUAUCUCCACAUCAGGUGUCUGAAUGACCAAUUCAGGUCUUUUAUGGUAACUUUUCCUGUGUGCUAAUUUUUUUAAAAUAUUUUAUUUAUUCCAGAGAGAGAGCAUGAGCAAGCAAGCGAGUGGGGCAGGGGAGGAGCAGAGGGAGAGGGGAGAGAGACAAACAGACAACACUGAGCACUGGGCUCGAUCUCAGGACACUGAGAUCAUGACCUGAGCAGAAACCAAGAGUAAGACGCGCAACUGACUGAGCCACCCAGGUGCCCCCUAUGUGCUAAUAUUUAAAAGUCUCUCUUGGUUCAGGUAUAAGCAUUGCUUUAUGGCCUGAUUUUUUUGGAAGGAAGAUUGUUGUGGACUGAUUGUGUUCCUCCAAAUCAUAAACGUUGAAGCCCUAACCCCAAGUAUGAUAACAUUUGGAGCUCGGGCCUUGGGAGAUAAUUAGGGUUAGAUGAGGUCAUGAAGGUGGUGCUUGCUUAAUAGGAUUACUGUCUUAAAGAAGAGACAGGAGUGCUCACUAUCUCACUCUACUGACCAGAGGAUGCAAUGAGAAGGUGGCUGUCCGCACGUGCAGUCCACAUGGACCAAAGAGAGCUCUUGUGAGUAACUGAAUCAGCAAGCACCUUGAUCUCAGACUUUGUAAGCCUCCAAAACAGUGAGAAAAUAAAUUCCUGUUGUUUAAGCCACCAAUCUAUGGUAUUUUGUUAUGGCAGUCUGAGCGGAC